UGUGGACAGGGGGCAUGCCAUUCUUGAGCACUACAAAACUUACCUCAGGGCUUGAUCGAUCAACAUGGUGAUGGAAUGCACCUGAAAGUAGGAUCGAAAUAUCCAUGCUGAGAUCACCAAGGCAUAAGCAGUCUUUUUCACCUUGGGAUACCUGACCUCUACAUUACGCAACACUCUGUUGGUAUAAUAGAGGGCUUUUGGACACUGUUUUCCUUUUGGACGAGGACCAAACUUAU
Molecule: long non-coding RNA, 236 nt
Filed under: Elaeis guineensis (African oil palm)
Lineage: Eukaryota; Viridiplantae; Streptophyta; Magnoliopsida; Arecales; Arecaceae
Description: long non-coding RNA (EGUI_LNC022453)
Source: RNAcentral